UACGAAGGGGGCUAGCGUUGCUCGGAAUCACUGGGCGUAAAGGGUGCGUAGGCGGGUCUUUAAGUCAGGGGUGAAAUCCUGGAGCUCAACUCCAGAACUGCCUUUGAUACUGAGGAUCUUGAGUUCGGGAGAGGUGAGUGGAACUGCGAGUGUAGAGGUGAAAUUCGUAGAUAUUCGCAAGAACACCAGUGGCGAAGGCGGCUCACUGGCCCGAUACUGACGCUGAGGCGCGAAAAGCGUGGGGAGCAAACAGGG
This 255-nucleotide ribosomal RNA is filed under the name uncultured bacterium. RNAcentral describes it as "partial 16S ribosomal RNA". It matches the Rfam family "Bacterial small subunit ribosomal RNA", at positions 524 to 777 of the family's 1533-position model. The record is from RNAcentral.